This 301-nucleotide ribosomal RNA is filed under the name uncultured bacterium. RNAcentral describes it as "partial 16S ribosomal RNA". It matches the Rfam family "Bacterial small subunit ribosomal RNA", at positions 509 to 807 of the family's 1533-position model. The record is from RNAcentral.
CAGUCGCCGCGGGAAUACGUAGGGUGCGAGCGUUAAUCGGAAUUACUGGGCGUAAAGCGUGCGCAGGCGGUUGUGUAAGACAGGUGUGAAAUCCCCGGGCUUAACCUGGGAACUGCGCUUGUGACUGCACAGCUAGAGUAUAGCAGAGGGGGGUGGAAUUCCACGUGUAGCAGUGAAAUGCGUAGAGAUGUGGAGGAACACCGAUGGCGAAGGCAGCCCCCUGGGCCAAUACUGACGCUCAUGCACGAAAGCGUAGGGAGCAAACAGGAUUAGAUACCCCCGUAGUCCCUGUCUCUUAUAC